Molecule: long non-coding RNA, 1705 nt
Organism: Fukomys damarensis (Damara mole-rat)
Lineage: Eukaryota; Metazoa; Chordata; Mammalia; Rodentia; Bathyergidae
Source: Ensembl
GCAGAGGCAACAGAGGCCUGACAGAGGCUACCAGGUCCCCAGCCUCCCCUUCCAGAACUGAGGACCCAGGAGCCCAGGCUGUGCCCAAGCACAGGGACGCUGGCUGCAGAGAUGUCUGUCCCAGUCCAGAUGUGGUCCCCUGUGCCUGUUGUUUUUCUCGUUGGCCUCUGGCAGGCCCACAGGACCCGGGACGGGCAUGGGGACAGGGUGGUAUGAGGCUCCUCACUCUUUCCUGGGUCCUUGGGGUGUCGUGCCCCCAGCCAGCAGGCACAUCCGCCGAGGGUGGUCAGGCUGGCCUCAAGGGGCCAUGUCCUUCUGCACCACUGAGCUACAUGGCCCAGAGCAGCCUCAGACUCUGAAGCUGCGUGCCCCACAGGAGCUUCAGGGUCACCCUCGGGGUUCAGGAGCCUCAUCACAGUGCCCAGGGACAGCAGAGCGCCCGGGUCAGGACACGAGCUAUCCGCAGGGAGAAUGAGGACCUGGACACCCCUCUCUGCCUAUAGAUGGCGUUGUGCCUGGCCACGAGCCUGGUCAGCUUCCUCUGUACCCUGGCUGGCCUCUUCGUCCUCUGCAAGGACCUCUUCCUGGAGACCCCGUUUCCCAGGCCAGACCGGACACCGUACCCUAAUCCCAAGCAGGCCCACGUCCAGCAGUUGGAGCUGGCACUGCUGUGCUGCACCACCCUGGAGUUGCUGCUGACGGUGCUGACAGCCAUCGCCGCCCACAGACGGGCCCGGCAGUGGGCACAGGACACAGGCAGCUCCCCUCCGGCACCCCCCGCAGACCUGGAACUGUGGCAUCCGCACCCGUCGCCCAGGCCUCCACCAUCCUACGAGGAGGUGACCCGAGGUGAAGCCUAGGCAAGCAGAGGUGAAGAGGCCCCAGCCACCAGGCCUCCGAGACGCACGUGGCCACCCCCCGCCCUUCCCCUCCAAGGCCUCCCCGCCCUUGGCCUCCAUCCACACAACACCCACCUGACAGCACCCACACGACACCAUCCACACGGAUCUGAGGCUGUCUGGAUUCUCCUGUCUACACCGCCUCCUCCUCUCUGCCACCUCUGCUGUCCCCUGGGCCCCGGCCACUGGUUGGUCUCUGCACCUGAUCUGCCACUGCACCUCUGUGGCUGUGGUGUGGAACACAAGCAGAACUUGCCAGGCCUGAUGGGAAAGCACCCUUUCACCAGAAGGGAGGGUGCCGUGGACUCGCAGCCGAGCGUCUGGAGACCCGGAUGCCACCCCAGCCCGUGGGCAGCUGAUUGCGCCACUGGACUCAACGCCUUCACUCCUGGCCCCCGUGACUUCCUAUAAACGACGCUGGGCUCCAGUGACAGCCUGGCCCUGACACUGCCUCUGGGCAGUGUCCCCUCAGAAAGACGAGGCCUUUGCAGGCAGCCCCUGAGAGCCACGCAGCACAGCCAGUGGAGGCCACAGCCGGGCGGCUUGUCACACCCACCUGCCGAGGGGGCACCACAGCUUUUCUGUUUGUAAUGAAGCCGCCUGCGUCAUUAUCAAGCAGGAAGGUGUAGGAAUGACCUCUUUGUGACACACGGUCCAGUCAUUAAACUAACUCUACACCACUCUGCAGAAACCAGCAUCCUAAGCUCGCACUUUCAGGCUGCGAUUCACACGGAGUUGUUUGCACAGAUUCUGAACAGGCUGAGCUGGGGCAAGGCCCAGACCCCUGCCUGGUCCAGAUCCAAGCC